AAACUCCCAGCAGCUUCUGAGAUGAUUUCAGUUCAUUUAAAUGCAAUAAGCACUAACAGCAAAAUGCCCUUCUGGCUGGCCCAUUUUCAGGCUAACCAGUCCAAAUGAGGAAAUGCCUCUGGCACCAACCAAGAAGCCUCCAGCUGCACUUCCUAAGAGAUGAAAAAUCAACUACAAUCAUCCACCCGAUCUACACCCCUCCCUACUUCUUUGGUGGAUAAAAGAUACCAAGACUUGGAAUAUUACUAACAAAAACUUGUAUCUGUGAUAAAAAUGCAGUGGGACUCAAUUUAAUUCACAUGAUCCAAUUAUUAUAUAUUACACCAGCACCUGGAAAGAGUCCAGCAAGUAUUGAUCUAAUGCUAAGCACUGUGCAAAUGUACUGGGAGUGUGCCCUUGCACCAAAGAGUUUGCAGCAUAAAAAGAAGCACAGAGAGGUGAAGUGACUUGCUGAUGGUUUUAGCAUCAGCAGGUAAGCAGCAGAGGUGGGACCAGAGACAGGCAGAGAAAACUCCUGGAUCACUUUCCAGUGCCUUACCCGUUGGUCAUGCCCUAAAGCAACAUCACCACAGUUUUGGAACUGCAUCAACUGCUUAUAGAAAGGACCUCAGCUACUCUGGCAAUGAAUGUGCUGCCAUUCUCUGUGCAGCUCAGGGCAAUUUUUAUUUAGUGAAAAUAGAUCCAAAAUUUCUAACAGGCUCAAAAAUCUACAGUGAAAGCAAAUUCUUUUGAGCCUCACAGUGCUAAGUUUUAAGAUCCAUCCUCACAGCCUGAGAUCAGAAGUGCCACAAUCUUCCCCAAAAAUGUUCAGUAGAAGGUCAGCACACAUGUAAGGGCAGGACGCACAGCAUUUGCCCAUCAAGCUGCUAGUGACAUGAUGGUGGGACAAAAGGUGACAUCAAAUCAGUUCUGAAGGACCUUACCCCUACUGAUUCCCUGUCCUGAUUCUUUCCCCUUCCAGGUCGUGAUAUGGCAAGCACUACCUUGCCUGGCUACCCACCCCAUGUUCCCCCAACUGGACAAGGCAGCUACCCAACCUCAACUCUGGCAGGAAUGGUUCCUGGGAGCGAGUUCUCAGGGAACCCCUACAGCCACCCGCAGUACACAACCUACAAUGAGGCCUGGCGAUUCAGCAACCCUGCAUUACUAAGUUCCCCUUAUUAUUAUAGUGCCACAUCCCGGGGCUCCGCACCUCCCACUGCUGCCGCUGCCUAUGACCGCCACUAGUUACCAUGGAAACCACAUGAAACUGCAGGGCGACAGCUUAGGCCUCCAUAUUGUACCUGUCUGACCCACCCCUCCGCCCCUGGGAAGGCGAAGAGGACCUCUCCAUGCCUCCCGCAGCCCGCGCCCUCCCUCUCCGCCGCUGCGCCAAGCGCCCCGACACCUGAUUGAGAACCCCGUCCUCCCCUGCGUCCCCCUGCGCCCCGCCAUGCCGGCUGGAGCCACAGGCCCUGCCGCCUCCCACAGGAGCCCCUGGCGAGGCCAGGCCACGCGCGGUCUUCUCCGGCACUCCCAAGACUCCAGGGGAACCGGGCAAUGAUGCAGCUGGCAACCAUCGCCUCACGGGACCCCCACCUCCCGGGAGCGGUAAGGGCAGGGGGAAGCAGGGGACACAGCUGCUGACGAAACACUGUUCCCCAAAGAUACGCUCUUCUGUGGUGGACUCUUCGAAACGCAUAACCUGUGAUGACCGCCCCGCUUCCCAGGACGGAGGGAACGGCCUGGCUAGAGCAGAGAUGGCAGUGCAGAGACCUGGCCCAUCUGGCAACCAAGGAAAGGACCAAGUAACUAUCUGCCCCCCCGCGAGGGGUUCUCUGUGCACUUCAUCCCCACUCUUCAGCAUGGCUUCACCGCCGCCGGCCGCAGCCCACGCGGUGACUUUGCAGGCCAGGCCGGGGGCGAGCCUCCCACAUACGCCCACAAUUUCUGUGACACACAAUCAGCUCAGACAGGAGGAUGGAGCAACAUUUACAAACCAACCGACGAAAUGAAGAAAUAUAUAAAUAGAUAUAUAAAUAUAACUGUGUUUUUAUGCUUUGUCAUGAAGGUCUGUAAAAAGGAAAAAAAAAAAAGAACAAAUCCCCAAUUUUCUAAAAAACCCAAGCAAGCAAAACCAAGAAAAAAAAAAAAAAAAAAAAAAAAAAAAAAAAACAAAAA
RNA transcript from Oxyura jamaicensis (ruddy duck), 2160 nucleotides. It is a transcript of the gene named paired box protein Pax-2a-like, with no coding region annotated. NCBI's taxonomy places the organism in Eukaryota, Metazoa, Chordata, Aves, Anseriformes, Anatidae. The record is from RefSeq and is a predicted model, not a curated record. The transcript is spliced from 3 exons.